UGGGGAAUAUUGCACAAUGGGCGAAAGCCUGAUGCAGCAACGCCGCGUGAGUGAUGAAGGUCUUCGGAUUGUAAAGCUCUGUCUUUUGGGACGAUAAUGACGGUACCAAAGGAGGAAGCCACGGCUAACUACGUGCCAGCAGCCGCGGUAAUACGUAGGUGGCGAGCGUUGUCCGGAUUUACUGGGCGUAAAGGGUGCGUAGGCGGAUGUUUAAGUGAGAUGUGAAAUACCCGGGCUUAACUUGG
This 245-nucleotide ribosomal RNA is filed under the name uncultured bacterium. RNAcentral's name for it is "partial 16S ribosomal RNA". It matches the Rfam family "Bacterial small subunit ribosomal RNA", at positions 355 to 617 of the family's 1533-position model. The record is from RNAcentral.